RNAcentral lists this ribosomal RNA (770 nucleotides) under Streptomyces rochei. RNAcentral's name for it is "bacterial SSU rRNA". It matches the Rfam family "Bacterial small subunit ribosomal RNA", at positions 32 to 820 of the family's 1533-position model. Lineage: Bacteria; Bacillati; Actinomycetota; Actinomycetes; Kitasatosporales; Streptomycetaceae. The record is from RNAcentral.
GGCCUUUCGGGGGGGCCUACACAUGCAGUCGAACGAUGAACCACUUCGGUGGGGAUUAGUGGCGAACGGGUGAGUAACACGUGGGCAAUCUGCCCUGCACUCUGGGACAAGCCCUGGAAACGGGGUCUAAUACCGGAUACUGAUCCUCGCAGGCAUCUGCGAGGUUCGAAAGCUCCGGCGGUGCAGGAUGAGCCCGCGGCCUAUCAGCUAGUUGGUGAGGUAACGGCUCACCAAGGCGACGACGGGUAGCCGGCCUGAGAGGGCGACCGGCCACACUGGGACUGAGACACGGCCCAGACUCCUACGGGAGGCAGCAGUGGGGAAUAUUGCACAAUGGGCGAAAGCCUGAUGCAGCGACGCCGCGUGAGGGAUGACGGCCUUCGGGUUGUAAACCUCUUUCAGCAGGGAAGAAGCGAAAGUGACGGUACCUGCAGAAGAAGCGCCGGCUAACUACGUGCCAGCAGCCGCGGUAAUACGUAGGGCGCAAGCGUUGUCCGGAAUUAUUGGGCGUAAAGAGCUCGUAGGCGGCUUGUCACGUCGGUUGUGAAAGCCCGGGGCUUAACCCCGGGUCUGCAGUCGAUACGGGCAGGCUAGAGUUCGGUAGGGGAGAUCGGAAUUCCUGGUGUAGCGGUGAAAUGCGCAGAUAUCAGGAGGAACACCGGUGGCGAAGGCGGAUCUCUGGGCCGAUACUGACGCUGAGGAGCGAAAGCGUGCGGAGCGAACAGGAUUAGAUACCCUGGUAGUCCACGCCGUAAACGGUGGGCACUAGG